Molecule: long non-coding RNA, 761 nt
Organism: Hippocampus zosterae (dwarf seahorse)
Lineage: Eukaryota; Metazoa; Chordata; Actinopteri; Syngnathiformes; Syngnathidae
Exons: 2
Source: RefSeq, a predicted model, not a curated record
CUGAAAGCAGGACAGCAGGCGACAUUACUGGAGAUGACACGACAGGUUUGAAACUAACUGCGCACGUCUCGCCUUUGAAUAUGUUGUGAACGAAACAGGGAAGAGGAGGAGGCUCAUGAGGAGCCUUCCAUGCAUGUUUUUGGAAUGUGGGAGGAAACCGGAGUACCCAGAGAAAACCCACCAAGACACUUGCAAACUCCACACAGGAAAGCUCGAGUCGGAAUCGGACCCUGCACGUCUGCACUGUGACGCGGAAGUGCUAGCCAGUUGACCACCCUGCUAGGUAAAACGAUUUAAAAUAUAUAUACAGGUAUAUAUCGUGUCUACAUUGUAGAUCUGUAACUUUAUUUUUCAUGCAUGUCCCAAUUGGGUGUCUUUGCACAUGCAGGAAUAAGAAUUCUGGUGCUUUUAAUGGCGCUAACAUACACAAACAAGAGUACUACUGCUGCUUUACAUGUCCAACAAACGCACAACAACGAUAACAACAAAAAAAAGCACAUCAUGCUGAAGAGUCAUUCUCGAGUUGCAGCUGUGGUAGUGUCGGCCGACCUCACUUGCGUGACAAGGAUACGAGUGCAACCCGAGAGGAAUGUUUCACAUAAGUUGCACGCGUCCCGUCAGUGAAACAAAUAAGUAGGUCAAAGCUCUCGAGUUACAUCAAAACAACAUACAUAAAACAUAUUGUAUCAGCCUGUUUUUCCUUGUACGGCUGUUUAGAAUAAGAACACUGUGUACUCACAUGCUUUUCAAUUCAAUUCUCA